RNAcentral lists this ribosomal RNA (120 nucleotides) under Fusarium culmorum. Lineage: Eukaryota; Fungi; Ascomycota; Sordariomycetes; Hypocreales; Nectriaceae. The record is from RNAcentral. RNAcentral also lists the same sequence under 1 other name.
ACAUACGACCAUACCUACCAGAAAAUACGGGAUCCCGUCCGCUCUCCCUUAGUCAAGCUGGUAAGGGACGGAUUAGUAGUUGGGUCGGUGACGACCAGCGAAUCCCCGCUGUUGUAUGUU